GUCGAGAUGGCGGAAUGGCAGACGCGCUAGAUUCAGGUUCUAGUGUUCAAAAAAGAACAUGAGGGUUCAAGUCCCUUUCUCGACACCA
This 88-nucleotide transfer RNA is filed under the name Clostridia bacterium. RNAcentral's name for it is "tRNA-Leu". It matches the Rfam family "tRNA". Rfam says of the family: Transfer RNA (tRNA) molecules are approximately 80 nucleotides in length. Their secondary structure includes four short double-helical elements and three loops (D, anti-codon, and T loops). The record is from RNAcentral. Lineage: Bacteria; Bacillati; Bacillota; Clostridia.